Long non-coding RNA from Pantherophis guttatus, 472 nucleotides. RefSeq lists it as uncharacterized. The record is from RefSeq and is a predicted model, not a curated record. Lineage: Eukaryota; Metazoa; Chordata; Lepidosauria; Squamata; Colubridae.
CAGUUCUUCUCAGAAGCAGGACUGGCUGUUGGGAAAGAAGACAAUGCUGUCUCUGAAUUGCAAAGUGACAAUUUUUAAGGACUUGGGGCAAAAAACCAAUUUCAUGAAGUAUUCCAAGAGCAGUAAAUAUAGUGUUUUAGUCCAUUUUUAUUUUUUUUGUUCUGGAGAUGCUUAAAAAGGGCUUGCCCAAUUCAUUUUGGCAAUGCUUUCCCCUGAGGCUUAAUGCCCAUUUUGGAUGACUUAUUCUUUGAAUCCUACAAUUUUUCUAGAGAUGCCAAUGGAAAAUCUAAUAGUCUUCUGGUGGAGACCUGGAAAAUGGAGAAAAUGAGCAGCAGGGACCAAAGGACUAGUGAGUCGAUUGGAUAAGAACCUCUAUGGAAAAGAGAUCUUCAGAAUAACAAGUCUGAAAAGCCACCUGAUGAGUCUAUCUUCAUUUUCUGAACAAAAUAAACAUUAACUAUAAGUUUAACAA